This 253-nucleotide ribosomal RNA is filed under the name uncultured prokaryote. RNAcentral describes it as "partial 16S ribosomal RNA". It matches the Rfam family "Bacterial small subunit ribosomal RNA", at positions 524 to 776 of the family's 1533-position model. The record is from RNAcentral.
UACGGAGGUCUCAAGCGUUGUUCGGAUUCAUUGGGCGUAAAGGGUGCGUAGGCGGCGAGGUAAGUCGGAUGUGAAAUCCCGGGGCUCAACCCUGGAACUGCAUUCGAUACUGCUUUGCUUGAGUACUGGAGAGGAGACUGGAAUUUACGGUGUAGCAGUGAAAUGCGUAGAUAUCGUAAGGAAGACCAGUGGCGAAGGCGAGUCUCUGGACAGUUACUGACGCUGAGGCACGAAGGCCAGGGGAGCAAACGGG